GUGGGGAAUCUUGCGCAAUGGGCGAAAGCCUGACGCAGCCAUGCCGCGUGAAUGAUGAAGGUCUUAGGAUUGUAAAAUUCUUUCACCGGGGACGAUAAUGACGGUACCCGGAGAAGAAGCCCCGGCUAACUUCGUGCCAGCAGCCGCGGUAAUACGAAGGGGGCUAGCGUUGCUCGGAAUUACUGGGCGUAAAGGGCGUGUAGGCGGACAGUUUAGUCAGAGGUGAAAGCCCAGGGCCCAACCUUGGAAUUGCCUUUGAUACGGGCUGUCUUGAGUACGGGAGAGGUGAGUGGAACUCCGGGUGUAGAGGUGAAAUUCGUAGAUAUUCGGAAGAACACCAGUGGCGAAGGCGACUCACUGGCCCGUUACUGACGCUGAGGCGCGAAAGCGUGGGGAGCAAACAGGAUUAGAUACCCCAGUAGUCC
This 425-nucleotide ribosomal RNA is filed under the name uncultured bacterium. Its description in RNAcentral is "partial 16S ribosomal RNA". It matches the Rfam family "Bacterial small subunit ribosomal RNA", at positions 354 to 796 of the family's 1533-position model. The record is from RNAcentral.